AGCAGCCGCCGCGGGAAUACGUAGGUCCCGAGCGUUGUCCGGAUUUAUUGGGCGUAAAGCGCGCGCAGGCGGAUAGGUCAGUCUGUCUUAAAAGUUCGGGGCUUAACCCCGUGAUGGGAUGGAAACUGCCAAUCUAGAGUAUCGGAGAGGAAAGUGGAAUUCCUAGUGUAGCGGUGAAAUGCGUAGAUAUUAGGAAGAACACCAGUGGCGAAGGCGACUUUCUGGACGAAAACUGACGCUGGGGCGCGAAAGCCAGGGAGCGAACGGGAUUAGAUACCCCUGUAGUCCCUGUCUCUUAUACAA
This 303-nucleotide ribosomal RNA is filed under the name uncultured bacterium. RNAcentral describes it as "partial 16S ribosomal RNA". It matches the Rfam family "Bacterial small subunit ribosomal RNA", at positions 507 to 809 of the family's 1533-position model. The record is from RNAcentral.